Molecule: microRNA, 25 nt
Filed under: Canis lupus familiaris (dog)
Lineage: Eukaryota; Metazoa; Chordata; Mammalia; Carnivora; Canidae
Description: cfa-miR-8873b
Source: miRBase by way of RNAcentral
UGCGACCUGAGCUGCUUCUGAGGCC